Molecule: ribosomal RNA, 472 nt
Filed under: uncultured bacterium
Lineage: Bacteria
Description: bacterial SSU rRNA
Rfam family: Bacterial small subunit ribosomal RNA
Source: RNAcentral
UCCAGACUCCUACGGGAGGCAGCAGUGGGGAAUAUUGCGCAAUGGGGGAAACCCUGAUGCAGCGACGCCGCGUGAGUGAAGAAGUAAUUCGUUAUGUAAAGCUCUAUCAGCAGGGAAGAACGGUCACUGUGCUAAUCAGCAGUGAAUUGACGGUACCUGCAAAGGAAGCACCGGCUAACUCCGUGCCAGCAGCCGCGGUAAUACGGAGGGUGCGAGCGUUAAUCGGAAUUACUGGGCGUAAAGCGCUCGUAGGCGGUAUGUCAAGUCAAGGGUGAAAUCCCCGCGCUCAACGUGGGAACUGCCUUUGAAACUGGCAAACUGGAGUGUGUGAGAGGAUAGUGGAAUUCCAGGUGUAGGAGUGGAAUCCGUAGAUAUCUGGAGGAACAUCAGUGGCGAAGGCGACUAUCUGGCACAUAACUGACGCUGAGGAGCGAAAGCGUGGGUAGCAAACAGGAUUAGAUACCCCGGUACA